CAAACACAUCCAGUUGGCAGUUAGCAGCGAUCAAUAUGAAAUGUACCGUUCAGGUCAUUUGAUGACAGUUGUUAAAAACAUUGUUCUUGGAGAAUACACGAUGGUGGAAAUGGCUUUAAUGUUGGUAGUACCGG
Adelges cooleyi (spruce gall adelgid) is the source of this 134-nucleotide long non-coding RNA. RefSeq lists it as uncharacterized. The record is from RefSeq and is a predicted model, not a curated record. The transcript is spliced from 3 exons. Lineage: Eukaryota; Metazoa; Arthropoda; Insecta; Hemiptera; Adelgidae.